GAAUCCCGUAUAUGGCACGGACUGCCGUUGCUCUGCGAUACACUCUCAACGGGUCGAGUUGUUUGGGAAUGCAGCUCCAAAUGGGUGGUAAAUGCCAUCUAAAGCUAAAUAUUGGCGAGAGACCGAUAGCGAACAAGUACCGUGAGGGAAAGAUGAAAAGCACUUUGGAAAGAGAGUGAAACAGUACGUGAAAUUGUUGAAAGGGAAACGCUUGAAGUCAGUCGCGUCGACCGAGACUCAGCCUUGCCUUGGCUUGGUGUACUUCUCGGCUGACGGGUCAGCAUCAAUUUUGAUCCUUGGAUAAUGGCAAGGGAAAGGUAGCACCUUUAUAGGUGUGUUAUAGUCCUCUGUCGGAUGCAAGGGUUGGGAUUGAGGAACUCAGCAUGCACCUUGUCGGUGUCGGGGCCUUGGCCCACGUUACGUGCUUAGGAUGCUGGCAUAAUGGCUUUAAACGACCCGUCUUGAAACACGGACCAAGGAGUCUAACAUGCACGCGAGUGUUCGGGUGGAAAACCCGUGCGCGUAAUGAAAGUAAAAGUUGGGACCUCUGUCGUGGAGGGCACCGACGCCCGGACCAGACCUUCUGUGACGGCUCUGCGGUAGAGCGUGUAUGUUGGGACCCGAAAGAUGGUGAACUAUGCCUGAAUAGGGUGAAGCCAGAGGAAACUCUGGUGGAGGCUCGUAGCGAUUCUGACGUGCAAAUCGAUCGUCAAAUUUGGGUAUAGGGGCGAAAGACUAAUCGAACCAUCUAGUAGCUGGUUCCUGCC
This 767-nucleotide ribosomal RNA is filed under the name uncultured Russula. RNAcentral describes it as "partial 28S ribosomal RNA". It matches the Rfam family "Eukaryotic large subunit ribosomal RNA", at positions 216 to 962 of the family's 3401-position model. The record is from RNAcentral. Lineage: Eukaryota; Fungi; Basidiomycota; Agaricomycetes; Russulales; Russulaceae.